This 1393-nucleotide long non-coding RNA is filed under the name Phasianus colchicus (ring-necked pheasant). RNAcentral describes it as "lncRNA (ENSPCLG00000002120.1)". The record is from RNAcentral. Lineage: Eukaryota; Metazoa; Chordata; Aves; Galliformes; Phasianidae.
AGGAGUAAUAAGAACGUGUGUUUCUUGGACUGGCAAACCAAGCAUUCCAACACUAAAUGGCUUCCUGUUCAACACGUUCAAAGCCAGAAACUGUUUUGGGGGGUUGGUUAGAAAUAUGUGUGAAGUAUGCACUUUUACUUCAGGCCAAAUCAAAUGUUUUUAGUUUCCCCUCAUCUUCCAUCAUCCCCUCCCCCACUAAAAAGGAAAAAAAAGAAAAAAAAGAAAAGACAACAAAAAACCUUUCCUCUGUCACUGAGGAAGCUAGCCUUGAGUUAAUCUGCAAACAUUCCCACUUCUCAGUAAAGUUACUUAAAAAGAAACUGGUCAAUGUCAUUUUGCCCUGGCAUUUGGAGCUGUUGAGCUGUAAUGAGUAGAUGCUCAAGAUCUUGGCCCCAGGUUAAAACAAGAAAACAGCGAAUAUUUGAGGGUGUUACAGCAUUCUCCACCACUGUUGUCAAACCUGUAAUUCACAAAUUUUUAGCCUGUUUUCUUCUUCUGCCGCAUCACCCUCAAAGUUAUUUGGUACUGCUUAUUCUUUGCAGAUCUUUAGAGCUGUUUUCUUCUUCUUUUCAGUUUUCAAAGUUUGAUCACAUGGAUAAAAGUGAAAAUAAUGCAUAUGGGAAAAUGUGUGGAGCACUGCAUUCAUGGAUGGACCAAGGUGAUGAGGUUUUGCAGUUCCUCACUGAAGCCACUAGGCACGCAGCAGCAGCUCCAGCCAUGUCACCACUGAAGCUGCUGCUGAAAGCUGGGAAACUGAUGUGAUAAGAAUGGGAUUGCUGACCAGUGGUACUGCAGGUCUUGCAUGGUGCAGCAACUGCUCUGGUCAGGGCAGUGAUUCUCUGUGGUCUUCCUCUUCACAUUCACAUGUGAAAGAUCCCAAACUAAUUUCAGGAAUGCCUACACAUCACCAAGUGUGCUGGAAGGCAACAUCAGUACAAAGCUGAUGCCAUCAAUGCUGUUUUAUUUGAACACUACUACCACUAGAGAAAUGCUCUAACCUGCUAAUUAAGGAAUGGGAACUAAGACAUUUUAGCCAGUUUGUUAACAAGACACCAUAGUAGACUGUAACAUAUAAAAAAAAAAAAAGACUAGUGAUUUGUUGCUUGAAUUAGUUGUACCUGGGGGUCCAUGGCAAUGCUUCUGUGCCACACUGAUCAAUUCUUUCAAAAGACAUGGGGAGUAGACAUAUGCGCAGAGUAAGUAGGAGAGAAAGAAACCAGAGGACCUGUCCUUAGGGUUAUGCUAGAGAUUCUUUUACUUUUCAUGCAUGCAGAAAGCAGCUGAUUCAAUAUGUUUUGCAAAUAGAUAUAAAUGCAUACAGAAGCACUGGGAACAUCUUGUACACAGAUGUGAGUCAGUACUUGGCAGGUGGCUAGUUGAAGUCAGAUUUCCC